GACGAACGCUGGCGGCGUGCUUAACACAUGCAAGUCGAGCGGUAAGGCCCUUUCGGGGGUACACGAGCGGCGAACGGGUGAGUAACACGUGGGUGACCUGCCCUCAGCUCUGGGAUAAGCCUGGGAAACUGGGUCUAAUACUGGAUAUGACUCCACGGUGCAUGUCGUGGGGUGGAAAGCCUUGUGCGGCUGAGGAUGGGCCCGCGGCCUAUCAGCUUGUUGGUGGGGNGAUGGCCUACCAAGGCGACGACGGGUAGCCGGCCUGAGAGGGCGACCGGCCACACUGGGACUGAGACACGGCCCAGACUCCCACGGGAGGCAGCAGUGGGGAAUCUUGCGCAAUGGGCGAAAGCCUGACGCAGCGACGCCGCGUGAGGGAUGACGGCCUGGUGUAAC
This 396-nucleotide ribosomal RNA is filed under the name uncultured bacterium. RNAcentral's name for it is "bacterial SSU rRNA". It matches the Rfam family "Bacterial small subunit ribosomal RNA", at positions 28 to 429 of the family's 1533-position model. The record is from RNAcentral.